GUUGACCUCGGAUCAGGUAGGAAUACCCGCUGAACUUAAGCAUAUCAAUAAGCGGAGGAAAAGAAACCAACAGGGAUUGCCUCAGUAACGGCGAGUGAAGCGGCAACAGCUCAAAUUUGAAAUCUGGCCCUAGGCCCGAGUUGUAAUUUGCAGAGGAUGCUUUUGGUGCGGUGCCUUCCAAGUUCCCUAGAACGGGACGCCAGAGAGGGUGAGAGCCCCGUACAGUUGGACACCAAGCCUUUGUAAAGCUCCUUCGACGAGUCGAGUAGUUUGGGAAUGCUGCUCAAAAUGGGAGGUAUAUUUCUUCUAAAGCUAAAUACCGGCCAGAGACCGAUAGCGCACAAGUAGAGUGAUCGAAAGAUGAAAAGCACUUUGAAAAGAGGGUUAAACAGCACGUGAAAUUGUUAAAAGGGAAGCGCUUGUGACCAGACUUGCGUCCGGUGAAUCACCCAGCUCUCGCGGCUGGGGCACUUCGCCGGCUCAGGCCAGCAUCAGCUCGCUGUCGGGGACAAAAGCUUCAGGAACGUAGCUCUCUUCGGGGAGUGUUAUAGCCUGUUGCAUAAUACCCUUCGGCGGGCUGAGGUACGCGCUCCGCAA
RNAcentral lists this ribosomal RNA (597 nucleotides) under Colletotrichum gloeosporioides. RNAcentral's name for it is "LSU rRNA". It matches the Rfam family "Eukaryotic large subunit ribosomal RNA", at positions 1 to 607 of the family's 3401-position model. The record is from RNAcentral. Lineage: Eukaryota; Fungi; Ascomycota; Sordariomycetes; Glomerellales; Glomerellaceae.